AAUGUUGGUUAUAAAAUGGCAUUAAAUGAACCCCUUGGAUGUCAAGAGACUCAGCUGCACAUUCCAGUAACUGGUCAUCUAAUAGCUAAUCCAUCUGCACCAGACCUCUUCACUCUCUCCUCCUGUGGAAGUUCUCAAACAGAAGAUGCCUCCUUUGCUGUGGGUUGUUUGGCUAAGAAUUUUCUACCUGAUUCCAUUAACUUUUCCUGGAAAUACCAAAACCAAACUGCUGUGAGUAACACAGAUUUAAAGGUCUUCCCAUCCCUUAUGAUUGGGAGCACAUACACAGCCACUUCACAAGUCAUCCUCCCUGCCAAUGAUGUCUUUCAAGGCCAAGAUAGCUACUUGGUAUGUAAGACUCGUCAUCCCAAAGGUGAAAAGGAAGUUCGAGUUCCACUCCCAGAUCGUACCAUCAAUUCUCCUAAUGUGACUGUGUAUAUCCCACCCCGGGAUGCAUUUUCCAGCUCUAGCCUAAGAAAAUCCAAGCUCAUCUGUCAAGCCACCAACUUCAGGCCAAACAAGAUUGCAUUAACAUGGCUUCGAGAGGGUAGGCCAGUUCUGUCUGGUGUCUCAACAAGUCAAGUCCUGCCUGAUGGUUUUGGGAACUACUUCCUUCAGAGCAGUCUGACUAUUAGUGAGAAUGACUGGCUCAGUCAGAGCACAUUCACUUGCCGAGUAGAUCAUGAAGGGAGCCGAUUCCAAAAAAAUGUUUCCUCGACCUGUUUCAGUGGUGGCCCAGAAUCACCGAUUGAAGUCUUUGCUAUUCCCCCCUCCCUUGCAAGCAUCUUUGUUAACAAAUCAGCCAAAUUAACCUGUGUAGUCACAAAUCUUCCCACCUCUCAAAAUCUGAAUAUUUCCUGGACUCAUGAGAAUGGAAAAGCACUGGAAACUACCAUUAAGGUGUCCCACAGCCAUCCCAAUGGUACCUUUAGUGCUGAAGGAGAAGCCACAGUCUGUGCAGAGGAAUGGAAUUCAGGGGACAUAUUCAAAUGCAUCGUGAUUCAUCCUAACCAUCCUGUUCCCUUGAAGAAAGAAAUCUUUAAGCAACAGGACACUAUCCAGCAUGCACCGGCAGUCUAUCUGUUGCCUCCAACUCCUGAGGAACUGAGUAUGAGGGAAGGAGCUACCCUAACGUGCCUGGUUAAGGACUUCUCUCCAGCAGAUGUAUUAGUCCAAUGGCUGCACAAAGGACAGCCUAUACCCUCAGAGAAAUAUGUCACCAGUAGCCCCCAGCAGGACCCCCAGAAAAGUGGUCUCUACUUUGUCUACAGCAUCAUGACAAUGUCUGAGGAACACUGGAAUGCAGGGGAUUCCAUGACUUGUGUGGUGGUUCAUGAAGCAUUACCUUUGUCGGUGACCGAGAAGACCGUGGACAAGUCCACUGAAGGGGAAGUAAAUGCUGAAGAAGAAGGAUUUGAGAACUUAUGGACAACAGCUUCUACUUUCAUUGUCCUCUUCCUACUGAGUCUCUUUUACAGCACAACAGUCACUUUGUUCAAGGUGAAAUAAAUUCAAGCCUGAAAGCAGGGAUAUUGGACCAAAAGAAGGGAUAAUUCCCUGAAGGCCUGAACCAUGCUCCCCCUGCUGACUGAUACAAUUCACAUUUUCAACAACUCCUGGAAGACCAAGAGGCUCCCAAGCUUAUGAGGGUGGUGGAGCGAGAAGGGAGUAGGAUUUAACUUUUGACUUCAUUGUGGUUUUCCCACAUCCUCCUAUUAGUUUAUGUAGAACUUAUCUCCUAUAACUUCUCUUAUGUCCUCCCUCCAAAAUUAAGAUUUUUAUAAAAAUGUAUAUUUCUUAAGCACAAUUAAUUGUAUUUUACUAGUUUAAAAAAACUAGAAAAAAUAAAAAAGUAUUGUAGACACAUCA
Molecule: non-coding RNA, 1869 nt
Organism: Antechinus flavipes (yellow-footed antechinus)
Lineage: Eukaryota; Metazoa; Chordata; Mammalia; Dasyuromorphia; Dasyuridae
Source: the annotation of a RefSeq genome assembly